RNAcentral lists this long non-coding RNA (877 nucleotides) under Homo sapiens (human). RNAcentral describes it as "non-protein coding lnc-NR1I2-1:24". The record is from RNAcentral. Lineage: Eukaryota; Metazoa; Chordata; Mammalia; Primates; Hominidae.
AUGCUGGAUGCGCGCGCUCCUUGGGCGCAACUGCCCAGCGCAAAACGGGCCCCGAAAGCAGGUGAGUGGAGGACACUUCAAUCUAAAGUGAUCUUAAAGGAGGAGUAGUAGGAUUUGAAGAUGAAGAAAGAAGAGGGGAGGUAAAUUACUUUCCAUCACUUCAAUUUCAACCCAUCAGAUAAAACCUCUCUUUAGUAAACCUGCAUGUGGGUGGAGCUGUAACAGCAAUUAAGGACAGUGUGACUCUGUUCUUCUGACUUUGGGAAAACCAGUUUGGCUGGAACAAAAAGCUGAUAGAGAAGACUAAUGGAAGAUAAGGUUGAAAAGGUAGGUUUGAGGGAGCUUUGUUACAGGAAAAAAAAAAAAAAAAAACUGGGCUUUGUCCUGUAGACAGUGGAGAGGUACUUUAGCAGAUGUAAGACAUUACCAUUAUAGGAAAGCCUCUGAAGUAACAUACACUGUGGUUUUUCCUGUUGCUGAAAAUAUGCCCAGAGUAACAAGAUGUGGCAUAGUUGGUUAUGUGUCUUAUAACCAGUGAGGUGUGCCCAAAUGGGAAAUUAAUGAAUGACUACCCAAAAAGAAGAGGGAGAGUGUUUGAAACACUGUCACUGUGAAAUAGACUGGUUGUAUGAAAAGUUGCAUAUCAAGCCUUUGGCAAAUUAUAUAAAUACUCUGAUUUUGACAUCUUAAAGGAGUAUACUAUAGAAAAUAAAAGAAAAACACUUGAAUCUGUUACAGGAAACGGGUCAUGAUCCAGACCCCAGGAGAGGGUUCUUGGAUCUCACACAAGAAAGAAUUCAGGGUGACCCCACAGUGCAAAAGUCAAAGCAAGUAUUAAGAAAAUGAAGGAAUAACAGAAUGGCUACUACAUAGAGCA